This 499-nucleotide ribosomal RNA is filed under the name uncultured bacterium. Its description in RNAcentral is "bacterial SSU rRNA". It matches the Rfam family "Bacterial small subunit ribosomal RNA", at positions 28 to 510 of the family's 1533-position model. The record is from RNAcentral.
GAUGAACGCUAGCGGCAGGCUUAAUACAUGCAAGUUGAGGGGCAGCAUGAUAUACGCGAGUAUAUUGAUGGCGACCGGCGGACGGGUGAGUAAUAGGUAGGAGACCUACCUCAUACAGGGGGAUAGCAUAGAGAAAUCUGUGGUAAUACCCCAUGAGGUUAUAUGAAUAGAGGCAUAUAAUCAAAGCAUAAGUGAUUAUGCGGUAUGAGAGGGGCCUACUGACCAUUAGCUAGUUGGUGAGGUAAGGGCUCACCAAGGCGAAGAUGGUUAGGGGUUUUGAGAGAGAGACCCCCCACAUUGGAACUGAGAGACGGUCCAGACUCCUACGGGAGGCAGCAGUAGGGAAUAUUGGGCAAUGGGCGAAAGCCUGACCCAGCCAUGCCGCGUGAAGGAAGACGGCCUUAUGGGUUGUAAACUUCUUUACUACGCGAAUAGAGGUUAGUACGAGAUACUAAUAGGAAGGUAGUGUAAGUAAAAGCAACCGGCUAACUCCGUGACC